RNAcentral lists this ribosomal RNA (250 nucleotides) under uncultured bacterium. RNAcentral describes it as "partial 16S ribosomal RNA". It matches the Rfam family "Bacterial small subunit ribosomal RNA", at positions 524 to 773 of the family's 1533-position model. The record is from RNAcentral.
UACAGAGGGUGCAAGCGUUGUUCGGAAUUAUUGGGCGUAAAGCGCGUGUAGGCGGCCAGCCCAGUCGGGUGUGAAAGCCCUCGGCUUAACCGAGGAAGUGCGCCCGAAACUAGCUGGCUUGAGUACCGGAGAGGAUGGCGGAAUUCCCGGUGUAGAGGUGAAAUUCGUAGAUAUCGGGAGGAACACCAGCGGCGAAGGCGGCCAUCUGGACGGAUACUGACGCUGAGACGCGAAAGCGUGGGGAGCAAAC